Molecule: ribosomal RNA, 1483 nt
Filed under: Limosilactobacillus sp.
Lineage: Bacteria; Bacillati; Bacillota; Bacilli; Lactobacillales; Lactobacillaceae
Description: bacterial SSU rRNA
Rfam family: Bacterial small subunit ribosomal RNA
Source: RNAcentral
CUUACGGGCGGUGUGCUAUAAUGCAAGUCGAACGCGUUGGCCCAAUUGAUUGAUGGUGCUUGCACCUGAUUGAUUUUGGUCGCCAACGAGUGGCGGACGGGUGAGUAACACGUAGGUAACCUGCCCAGAAGCGGGGGACAACAUUUGGAAACAGAUGCUAAUACCGCAUAACAGCGUUGUUCGCAUGAACAACGCUUAAAAGAUGGCUUCUCGCUAUCACUUCUGGAUGGACCUGCGGUGCAUUAGCUUGUUGGUGGGGUAACGGCCUACCAAGGCGAUGAUGCAUAGCCGAGUUGAGAGACUGAUCGGCCACAAUGGGACUGAGACACGGCCCAUACUCCUACGGGAGGCAGCAGUAGGGAAUCUUCCACAAUGGGCGCAAGCCUGAUGGAGCAACACCGCGUGAGUGAAGAAGGGUUUCGGCUCGUAAAGCUCUGUUGUUAAAGAAGAACACGUAUGAGAGUAACUGUUCAUACGUUGACGGUAUUUAACCAGAAAGUCACGGCUAACUACGUGCCAGCAGCCGCGGUAAUACGUAGGUGGCAAGCGUUAUCCGGAUUUAUUGGGCGUAAAGAGAGUGCAGGCGGUUUUCUAAGUCUGAUGUGAAAGCCUUCGGCUUAACCGGAGAAGUGCAUCGGAAACUGGAUAACUUGAGUGCAGAAGAGGGUAGUGGAACUCCAUGUGUAGCGGUGGAAUGCGUAGAUAUAUGGAAGAACACCAGUGGCGAAGGCGGCUACCUGGUCUGCAACUGACGCUGAGACUCGAAAGCAUGGGUAGCGAACAGGAUUAGAUACCCUGGUAGUCCAUGCCGUAAACGAUGAGUGCUAGGUGUUGGAGGGUUUCCGCCCUUCAGUGCCGGAGCUAACGCAUUAAGCACUCCGCCUGGGGAGUACGACCGCAAGGUUGAAACUCAAAGGAAUUGACGGGGGCCCGCACAAGCGGUGGAGCAUGUGGUUUAAUUCGAAGCUACGCGAAGAACCUUACCAGGUCUUGACAUCUUGCGCCAACCCUAGAGAUAGGGCGUUUCCUUCGGGAACGCAAUGACAGGUGGUGCAUGGUCGUCGUCAGCUCGUGUCGUGAGAUGUUGGGUUAAGUCCCGCAACGAGCGCAACCCUUGUUACUAGUUGCCAGCAUUAAGUUGGGCACUCUAGUGAGACUGCCGGUGACAAACCGGAGGAAGGUGGGGACGACGUCAGAUCAUCAUGCCCCUUAUGACCUGGGCUACACACGUGCUACAAUGGACGGUACAACGAGUCGCGAACUCGCGAGGGCAAGCAAAUCUCUUAAAACCGUUCUCAGUUCGGACUGCAGGCUGCAACUCGCCUGCACGAAGUCGGAAUCGCUAGUAAUCGCGGAUCAGCAUGCCGCGGUGAAUACGUUCCCGGGCCUUGUACACACCGCCCGUCACACCAUGAGAGUUUGUAACACCCAAAGUCGGUGGGGUAACCUUUUAGGAGCCAGCCGCCUAAGGUGACAGAUUGGG